UCUGCCCCUAGAUCAUUACAAGUGUGGUUUUUGUGUCAUAUGUGUGUCAGUAGGUGGCAGAGAGGAGAGAAGCUAUUUCUAAGCUCAGUGUUCUGGUCUGUGAACAUCUGAAUAAUUAAGAGUCUAACACA
Apodemus sylvaticus (European woodmouse) is the source of this 131-nucleotide small nucleolar RNA. RefSeq annotates it as small nucleolar RNA SNORA17. The record is from RefSeq and is a predicted model, not a curated record. The transcript has a single exon. NCBI's taxonomy places the organism in Eukaryota, Metazoa, Chordata, Mammalia, Rodentia, Muridae.